GGUUAAGUUACUAAGAGCGUAUGGGGGAUGCCUAGGCUCUCAGAGGCUAAGAAGGACGUGCCAAGCUGCGAAAAGCUACGGGGAAUUGCUGAGGAAUAUUGAUCCGUAGAUAUCCGAAUGGGGCAACCCGUCAUCUAUAUGAUGACCUAAGGCCAACCCGCUGAACUGAAACAUCUAAGUAAGCGGAGGAAAAGAAAAUAACAAUGAUUCCCUAAGUAGUGGCGAGCGAACGGGGAAGAGCCCAAACCAAUUAUGUUUCGGCAUAAUUGGGGUUGAAGGACUGCAAUGUGGACUAUAUAACGAAGUUGAAUUACCUGGAAAGGUAAGCAGCAUAGAGUGAAAGCCUCGUAAACGUAAGUUUAUAUUACCUAGCAGUAUCCUGAGUAGCGCGGGGUCGGAGACGCCUUGCGUGAAACUGCCAGCACCAUCUGGUAAGGCUAAAUACUACUGAGAGACCGAUAGUGAACCAGUACUGUGAAGGAAAGGUGAAAAGAAUCUUGAAUAAAGAAGUUAAAAGAACCUGAAACCAUACGCGUUACAAGCGGUAGGAGCCCUACGGGGUGACUGCGUGCCUUUUGCAUAAUGAGCCUACGAGUUAGUCCUUACUAGCGAGGUUAAGUUCUUCAGGAACGAAGCCGAAGCGAAAGCGAGUCUGAAUAGGGCGCUUAGUUAGUAGGGCUAGACGCGAAACCUGAGUGAUCUACCCAUGAGCAGGAUGAAGGUGCCGUAACAGGUACUGGAGGUCCGAACUGGUGAACGUUGAAAAGUUCUCGGAUGACUUGUGGGUAGGGGUGAAAGGCUAAUCAAACUGGGAGAUAGCUCGUACUCCCCGAAAUGUUUUUUGGAACAGCCUCGGUUAAAAGUGUCGUAGAGGUAGAGCUACCAAUUGGGUGAGGGGGAGUCAAAUCCUACCGAGCUCAGAUGAACUCCGAAUACUACAGACAUGUUUACCGGGAGUGAGCCCUUGGGUGCUAAGGUCCUAGGGCGAGAGGGAAAGAACCCAGACCAUCAGCUAAGGUCUCCAAAUCCGGAUUAAGUUGAACAAACGAGGUUUAAUCGCAUAGACAGCUAGGAUGUUUGCUUGGAAGCAGCCAUUCAUUUAAAGAGUGCGUAACAGCUCACUAGUCGAGCGAUUAAGCGCGGAUGAUAAACGGGCAUCAAAUCCGGUACCGAAGCUAUGGAUUCAUAUCAAGAGAUAUGAGUGGUAGGGGAGCAUUCUAAGUGCGCAGAAGGUGAAACGUGAGUUUUGCUGGAGCGUUUAGAAAAGCCAAUGUAGGCAUAAGUAACGAUAAGGAAGGUGAGAAACCUUCCCACCGAUAGACUAAGGUUUCCUGAUCAACGUUAAUCGGAUCAGGGUUAGUCGGGACCUAAGGAUAAGCGGAGAAGCGAAUCCGAUGGAUAUCAGGUUAAUAUUCCUGAACCUUUUGUAGAGCGAAGUGGUGACGCAGGAGUGAAAGAUUCGCGAACUGACGGAAUAGUUCGUUAAAGCUUGUAGAUAAAUUUAUUGUAGGCAAAUCCGCAAUAGAUGUCGAAGGUGAUAGUACUCAGCGUCUUCGGACAAUGAGAUAGUAAUCCUAAUCCAACUGCCAAGAAAACCCGCUAGCUUAAUCUACAAAAGCCCGUACCACAAACCGACACAGGUAGUCUAGGAGAGAAUCCUGAGGUGCUCGAGUGAUUCACGGUUAAGGAACUCGGCAAAUUAACCCUGUAACUUCGGGAAAAAGGGAGCCUUCUUCGGAAGGCCGCAGAGAAAUGGCUCAGGCGACUGUUUAACAAAAACACAUGGCUAUGCAAAAUCGAAAGAUAACGUAUAUGGCCUGACACCUGCCCGGUGCUGGAAGGUUAAGAGGGGAUGUCAUCCGGCUUGUCUGGAGAAGCAUUGAAUCGAAGCCCCAGUAAACGGCGGCCGUAACUAUAACGGUCCUAAGGUAGCGAAAUUCCUUGUCGGGUAAGUUCCGACCUGCACGAAUGGUGUAACGAUCUGAGCACUGUCUCAACCGUGAGCUCGGUGAAAUUGUGGUAUCGGUGAAGACGCCGGUUAAUCGCAUCGGGACGGAAAGACCCCGUGCACCUUUACUAUAGCUUUGCAUUGACUUUGGGUAAAUAAUGUGUAGGAUAGGCGGGAGACUGUGAGAUGGUGUCGCCAGGCAUCAUGGAGUCAACCUUGAAAUACCGCCCUUUGUUUAUUUGGAGUCUAACCCUGUUAAUCGGGGGACAUUGCAUGGUGGGUAGUUUGACUGGGGUGGUCGCCUCCAAAAAAGUAUCGGAGGCUUCUAAAGGUCUGCUCAGUACGCUUGGUAACCGUACGAAGAGUGCAAUAGCAUAAGCAGGCUUGACUGUGAGGCAAACAAGCCGAGCAGGUACGAAAGUAGAGUAUAGUGAUCCGGUGGUUCUGCAUGGAAGGGCCAUCGCUCAUAGGAUAAAAGGUACGCCGGGGAUAACAGGCUGAUCUCCCCCAAGAGCUCAUAUCGACGGGAGGUUUGGCACCUCGAUGUCGGCUCGUCACAUCCUGGGGCUGGAGAAGGUCCCAAGGGUUCGGCUGUUCGCCGAUUAAAGUGGCACGCGAGCUGGGUUCAGAACGUCGUGAGACAGUUCGGUCCCUAUCUGAUGUGAUCGUUGGAAGUUUGAGAGGAUCUGAUCUUAGUACGAGAGGACCGGGUCGGACGUACCUCUGGUGUAUCUGUUGUGGCGCCAGCUGCAUCGCAGAGUAGCUAAGUACGGACAAGAUAAGCGCUGAAAGCAUCUAAGCACGAAACUUACCUCAAGAUGAGACUUCCUUUAAGAGUCGUAGAAGACUACUACGUUGAUAGGCUGCAGAUGUAAAGAUGGUAACAUCAAAGUCGAGCAGUACUAAUUACUCGAAUACUUAACAAU
Bacteroidetes bacterium OLB11 is the source of this 2874-nucleotide non-coding RNA. NCBI's taxonomy places the organism in Bacteria, Pseudomonadati, Bacteroidota. The record is from Rfam.